UUCAACAAGGAAAGACCUGCAGACCCUACUCUGAGAACAGCUUAGAGCACCUGGCAAGGCCUUGGGAAUAGUAGUGAAAUGAAGCCAGUGAGUCAGGAAAAUGAGCUGAUAGCUUUGAACAUCUCCCCCACCCUGGGCCCCAAAGGACUGGCCCAGGUAGGCUCAGGCCCCACUCCAGGGAUGGUUGAGAAAUGGGGGCAGAAACAGGCCACUCCUGGAGGAAAUGAGAGAGAGAGGAAGGAAGGAAAGAGGAGAAGAGAAAAGGAAGAAAGAUGAGAUGGGAAACUCAUCUUCCAACCACAUUGAAAAGCCAUCCAGAACCAAAGUGGCAAAACACUAGUGACGGGGAGCCCAGUGAUGAGUCAUAGGAGACAUGGACAGACCAGAGGAGCCUAAGGAGACAAGACAUCUAAAUGCAACGUGGGAUGCUGGAACAGAAAAGGACAUUGGUGGGAACACUAGUAAAAUCCAAAUAAAAUCUGGAGUUUAGUUAAUAGUAAUGGAUCACUGUUAAUUUCUUUGUUCUGGGAAAUGUACCAUAGUUAGGUAUGUUAACAUGGUGGGAAGUUGGGAUAGGGCAUUUGGGAACUUGGUACUAUCUUGCAACAUUUCUGUAAAUCUAAAAUCCAAAAUUAAAAGUUCACAAAAAGGAAGGCAUUCAUUGUUCAGCUUCUUUCAUAAUUAAAUAAUUAAAAUAAGUAUAUAUCUUAAAAUAUAUAUCAAACUGGCAAAAUAAAAACAAUUUUGCACAAUGUUUGAUAUGGGUGGUACACAAGGGACAGGCAGGACAUGUGCACUGUGGAGGAGAGGGUCUGCAUUGUUGGAGCCCAGUUUGGCCAUAUCAUUAAAAGUAUUGUAGCUAUAGCUAAUCCCCUUUGACCCAUUUCCAUGCCUACAAAUUACCCUACAAAACCCUCCAGUGCUCAGAGAUAUGUACAGGAUGUUUGUACAAACACAAGAGUGAUGGACAGGACUUGGUUCCCAAUGUGGGCACCUCAGGACAGCCUCAGGCUGCACCAGCCCACCCCAGCAGAAGACUUGCAGAGGGGCUUAGCAACCCUUGUUCUAACAACUUCCCCACAUGAAUCCCAGAACCACUGAGUUAUGGUAUACUUGAAAAUUAUACAGGCAGUAAGGAAAUGAGUUAGGUAUGUACUGACAUGAAAGAUGUUCAAGGUCUAUGGUUAAGUGAAACAAGUGUGUGUGUAUGUGUUGU
This is a long non-coding RNA of Balaenoptera acutorostrata (minke whale), 1216 nucleotides long. RefSeq lists it as uncharacterized. NCBI's taxonomy places the organism in Eukaryota, Metazoa, Chordata, Mammalia, Artiodactyla, Balaenopteridae. The record is from RefSeq and is a predicted model, not a curated record. The transcript has 3 exons.